RNAcentral lists this ribosomal RNA (634 nucleotides) under uncultured bacterium. RNAcentral's name for it is "bacterial SSU rRNA". It matches the Rfam family "Bacterial small subunit ribosomal RNA", at positions 181 to 801 of the family's 1533-position model. The record is from RNAcentral.
AAGAACCGCAUGGUUCUUGGCUGAAAGAUGGCGUAAGCUAUCGCUUUUGGAUGGACCCGCGGCGUAUUAGCUAGUUGGUGAGGUAACGGCUCACCAAGGCGAUGAUACGUAGCCGAACUGAGAGGUUGAUCGGCCACAUUGGGACUGAGACACGGCCCAAACUCCUACGGGAGGCAGCAGUAGGGAAUCUUCCACAAUGGACGCAAGUCUGAUGGAGCAACGCCGCGUGAGUGAAGAAGGCUUUCGGGUCGUAAAACUCUGUUGUUGGAGAAGAAUGGUCGGCAGAGUAACUGUUGUCGGCGUGACGGUAUCCAACCAGAAAGCCACGGCUAACUACGUGCCAGCAGCCGCGGUAAUACGUAGGUGGCAAGCGUUAUCCGGAUUUAUUGGGCGUAAAGCGAGCGCAGGCGGUUUUUUAAGUCUGAUGUGAAAGCCCUCGGCUUAACCGAGGAAGCGCAUCGGAAACUGGGAAACUUGAGUGCAGAAGAGGACAGUGGAACUCCAUGUGUAGCGGUGAAAUGCGUAGAUAUAUGGAAGAACACCAGUGGCGAAGGCGGCUGUCUGGUCUGUAACUGACGCUGAGGCUCGAAAGCAUGGGUAGCGAACAGGAUUAGAUACCCUGGUAGUCCAUGCC